Amylocarpus encephaloides is the source of this 91-nucleotide non-coding RNA. The record is from the annotation of a GenBank genome assembly. NCBI's taxonomy places the organism in Eukaryota, Fungi, Ascomycota, Leotiomycetes, Helotiales.
GCCCUCGUAGCUCAAUGGUAGAGCGCGUCACUAGUACUUCAUAUUUGAAUCGCCAAUGACGAGGUUGCCGGUUCGAUUCCGUCCGAGGGCA